RNAcentral lists this unclassified non-coding RNA (186 nucleotides) under Exophiala sp. RNAcentral's name for it is "partial internal transcribed spacer 2". RNAcentral also lists the same sequence under 1 other name. Lineage: Eukaryota; Fungi; Ascomycota; Eurotiomycetes; Chaetothyriales; Herpotrichiellaceae. The record is from RNAcentral.
UCACCCCUCAAGCCCCCGGCUUGGUGUUGGACGGCUUGGUGGAGACCCUUUUGUGGCCCACCCCUCCCAAAGACAAUGACGGCGGCCUCGUUGGACCCCCGGUACACUGAGUUCUUCACGGGACACGUAUCGGACACACGGGUUUACGGGUCACGGUCUGCCUCCCCUCAGGGAGAACUUUUCUAA